GCCGCCGUAGCUCAGUGGCCAGAGCACGCGCCUCGUAAGCGCGGGGUCGUGGGUUCGAAUCCCACCGGCGGCU
RNAcentral lists this transfer RNA (73 nucleotides) under Thermoleophilum album. It matches the Rfam family "tRNA". Rfam says of the family: Transfer RNA (tRNA) molecules are approximately 80 nucleotides in length. Their secondary structure includes four short double-helical elements and three loops (D, anti-codon, and T loops). The record is from Rfam by way of RNAcentral. RNAcentral also lists the same sequence under 2 other names. Lineage: Bacteria; Bacillati; Actinomycetota; Thermoleophilia; Thermoleophilales; Thermoleophilaceae.